GGAGCUAGAUUGUCGGGGGCGGGCCAUGAGGAGCUAGAAGGUCGGGGGCGGAGCUGAGAGGAGGAGCUAGGAGUCCCGGCGCAGAGCCGGCCGGAAGAGGAGCCGAGAGGCGAAGAAGGCGCGGAUGAGGAAGAGCGGCGGGGCUAGCAGAAGAACCUAGAAGGUCAGGGGCGGGGAGGAGGAGCCAGAUAUCCUGGACGGGGCGAACCGAGCCUGACGCCAGGUUGGCGCGGCAGGUGCUCCGAAGAAGGCGGAGCGGGGCUGGGCAGCGGCCUGGGAGCCGGAUGUGGACUGGAAGGAGGGACCGUUGGACGCGAGAGGUCGGGACUGGCUUGAGGGACACGUUCGCGCCUCGGUUUCUUUAGUCGCAAAAAUGAGAUACCAGCCUCAUAGUGUGUUGAGAUGAUUAAAUGAGCUCAUGCAUGUUUACCGUACCUGGCACGAAACAGUCUACCCGGCGACGUCUGACGCACUCAUGAUUCCUGGUUGCCAUUCGUGGAGAUUGCAGGGCUUCCUCUUGCAGUUAAAGGCUCAUUGGCUCCCGGGAGGCCGGUCUGGUCUCAGCCACUUCCGCGGACUUCACUGUGACUGCUACUGGCUGUGGGGGCAAAGGCUACCUCGCCCCCGGGAUGGGACAGAAGAUGUGCCUGCCUUCUGCGGAGGAGCCCGGAUACGGGGUAGCGGUUCAUGAAGGUGCUGACCUUCAUGGGAGCACGAUGAAUCCAUCCAUACCGCAAACAUCCAUUAAACACCUACUGUAUGGUGGCUCUGUGCAGAGGGCUGUUAAUAAUACUAGCAAAACUUAGUAGGUGCCGGCCACCGUUCUAAGCCUUACGACAGCCUAUAAUGUAGAUCCUCUAGCUACCCACCUUAAUUUUACAAAGGGAAAGGGGGGCAUAGUGAAUUAAAAUAGCCUGCCCAAAGUUACACAUUUAGGAAGUGGCACAGUAUGGCUGGGAGACAGGUAAUUAAAUACUUUAUAGGUGUAGUAGACCAGAAAAUCACAACACAUUUGUGUUUAAUGCCCCAAAUAAGAAUAUGCACAAGGUUCAGCGGUGUUCAGAAAAGAACACUGUCCUGUGGUUAUAGCUAUGGGGAGGGGAGUGUCAGGAAGACCUUUCGCAAGGAGGUGAUGUCUGAGCUGGGUUUGGAAGAAGGAAUAGGAGUUGAGGAGCAGCUACAGGUGGAGAAAUGGGCGCAGUGAACAUUUUUCAAGCAUUCAGAAGGGUUGGGGGAAAAGUGGAGAUUGGAAUGAAGCUAAAAUAACAAAAGAGGACCAUUGAAAUCCAAGUGCUUUUUUUUUUUCUAUAGCUAUAGGAGCUAAGGAGCAUUAAUUUGACCCUUGCUUAGUAGAAAGCCAGAAGGAUUUUAAUCAGGGGGGACAUGUCAAUUGUUCCAGAAAGGUUAAUCUGAAAACAGCAAAGAGAAUGCCAGAGCCAGGAAACUUGCUUAUGAAGUUACUGAAAUCUGACAGGUUGGGAUACUGUGGUAGGCAGAAUAAUGAAUCCGGGAAGGAUGUCCACUCCCUAAUCCCUGGAACACUUUGCAGAUGUGCUUAAGUUUAAAGACAAUGAGAUGGGGAGCCUAUCCUGGAUUAUUUGAGUGAGUCUAAUCUAAUCAUGUGAGUUCUGUAAAGUGAAAGAGUGUGUCGGAGAGAUUCAAAAUAUGAGAGGAGCUGGACCUAGUUCAGAAGCCAAGGAUUGGGUGGCCUUUAGAAGUUGGAAAUGGACCUCAGCCAACAAAAAGUGAGAAUUUCAGUCCCACGGCCACAAGGAAGUGAAUUCUGCCAAUAACCCAACUGAGCAGGGGAAAGGGGACCCUCCCUUAGAGCCUACAGAAGGGAACUCAGCUCUGGAGGUGCACUUUGAUUUUAUCCUGUUGAGACCCACACUGGACUUCUGACCUACAGUACUGUAAAAUAAUAAAUUUGUGUUUUAAAACCUUA
Long non-coding RNA from Zalophus californianus (California sea lion), 1945 nucleotides. RefSeq lists it as uncharacterized. NCBI's taxonomy places the organism in Eukaryota, Metazoa, Chordata, Mammalia, Carnivora, Otariidae. The transcript has 2 exons. The record is from RefSeq and is a predicted model, not a curated record.